GUAAAGGGUGCGUAGGUGGUUUCGUAUGUCGGAUGUGAAAGCCCGGGGCUUAACCCCGGAACUGCAUUCGAAACUGCGGGACUAGAGUACAGGAUGGGAGANCGGAAUUCUUGGUGUANCGGUGAAAUGCGUUGAGAUCAAGAAGAACACCGGCGGCGAAGGCGGCUCUCUGGAAUGUUACUGACACUCAUGCACGAAAGCUGGGGUAGCAAACAGGAUUAGAUACCCUGGUAGUCCCAGCUGUAAACUGUGUGCACUUGGUGUUGGCGGUAUUGACCCCGCCAGUGCCGGAGUUAACGCGUUAAGUGCACCGCCUGGGGAGUACGAUCGCAAGGUUAAAACUCAAAGAAAUUGACGGGGGCCCGCACAAGCGGAGGAGCAUGUGGCUUAAUUCGAUGCAACGCGAAGAACCUUACCUGGGUUUGACAUCGGAGAGGCUUGCCUCUAGCGCGUGAAAGCGCGUUAACCAGACAGGUGCUGCAUGGCUGUCGUCAGUUCGUGCCGUGAGGUGUUGGGUUAAGUCCCGCAACGAACGCAACCCUUAUGUUUAGUUGCCACCCCCGAGCAAUCGGGGCGCACUCUAGACAGACUGCCCGUACAAGCGGGAGGAAGGUGGGGAUGACGUCAAGUCCGUAUGGCCCUUACACCCAGGGCUGCACACGUGCUACAAUGGUCGGUACAGAGGGAUGCUACACCGCGAGGUUACGCAAAUCCCUAAAAGCCGGUCCCAGUUCGGAUUGCAGUCUGUAACUCGACUGCAUGAAGUUGGAUUCGCUAGUAACGGCGUAUCAGCUACGACGCCGUGAAUACGUUCCCGGGCCUUGUACACACCGCCCGUCACAUCAUGAAAGCCGUCUGCACCCGAAGUCACUGAACCAACCAGCAAUGGAGGGAGGUGCCGAAGGUGUGGGUGGUGAUUGGGAUGAAGUCGUA
Molecule: ribosomal RNA, 933 nt
Filed under: uncultured organism
Description: bacterial SSU rRNA
Rfam family: Bacterial small subunit ribosomal RNA
Source: RNAcentral